CAAGUCGAACGCGAAAGCCCCGCAAGGGGCAAGUAGAGUGGCAAACGGGUGAGUAACACGUGGGUGACCUGCCUUCGAGUGGGGGAUAACAUCCCGAAAGGGAUGCUAAUACCGCAUGACAUCCUGCCUUUGAACAGGCGGAGAUCAAAGCUGGGGACCGCAAGACCUGGCGCUCAAAGAGGGGCCCGCGCCUGAUUAGCUAGUUGGUGGGGUAAUGGCUCACCAAGGCAUCGAUCAGUAUCCGGCCUGAGAGGGCGGACGGACACACUGGGACUGAGACACGGCCCAGACUCCUACGGGAGGCAGCAGUGGGGAAUUGUUCGCAAUGGGCGCAAGCCUGACGACGCAACGCCGCGUGGAGGAUGAAGACCUUCGGGUCGUAAACUCCUUUCGAUCGAGACGAAUGGCCUUCGGGUUAACAGCCCGGAGGAAUGACGGUACCGAGAGAAGAAGCCCCGGCUAACUCCGUGCCAGCAGCCGCGGUAAUACGGGGGGGGCAAGCGUUGUUCGGAAUUACUGGGCGUAAAGGGCUCGUAGGUGGCCAACUAAGUCAGACGUGAAAUCCCUCGGCUUAACCGGGGAACUGCGUCUGAUACUGGAUGGCUAGAGUUUGGGAGAGGGAUGCGGAAUUCCAGGUGUAGCGGUGAAAUGCGUAGAUAUCUGGAGGAACACCGGUGGCGAAGGCGGCAUCCUGGACCAACACUGACGCUGAGGAGCGAAAGCCAGGGGAGCAAACGGGAUUAGAUACCCCGGUAGUCCUGGCCCUAAACGACGAAUGCUUGGUGUGGCGGGUAUCGAUCCCUGCCGUGCCGAAGCUAACGCAUUAAGCAUUCCGCCUGGGGAGUACGGUC
RNAcentral lists this ribosomal RNA (851 nucleotides) under uncultured Pseudomonadota bacterium. Its description in RNAcentral is "bacterial SSU rRNA". It matches the Rfam family "Bacterial small subunit ribosomal RNA", at positions 58 to 887 of the family's 1533-position model. Lineage: Bacteria; Pseudomonadati; Pseudomonadota. The record is from RNAcentral.